GUGCUCGCUCCGGCAGCACAUAUACUAAAAUUGGAACGAUACGGAGAAGAUUAGCAUGGCCCCUGUGCAAGGAUAACACGCAAA
RNAcentral lists this small nuclear RNA (84 nucleotides) under Peromyscus maniculatus bairdii (prairie deer mouse). The record is from RNAcentral. Lineage: Eukaryota; Metazoa; Chordata; Mammalia; Rodentia; Cricetidae.